ACCAGACUCCUACGGGAGGCAGCAGUGGGGAAUAUUGCACAAUGGGGGAAACCCUGAUGCAGCGACGCCGCGUGAGUGAAGAAGUAUUUCGGUAUGUAAAGCUCUAUCAGCAGGGAAGAGAAUGACGGUACCUGAGUAAGAAGCCCCGGCUAACUACGUGCCAGCAGCCGCGGUAAUACGUAGGGGGCAAGCGUUAUUCGGAUUUACUGGGUGUAAAGGGAGCGUAGACGGCGAAGAAAGUCUGGAGUGAAAGGCGGGGGCCCAACCCCCGGACUGCUCUGGAAACUGUAUGACUUGAGUGCAGGAGAGGUAAGCGGAAUUCCUAGUGUAGCGGUGAAAUGCGUAGAUAUUAGGAGGAACACCAGUGGCGAAGGCGGCUUACUGGACUGUAACUGACGUUGAGGCUCGAAAGCGUGGGGAGCAAACAGGAUUAGAUACCCCUGUACA
RNAcentral lists this ribosomal RNA (447 nucleotides) under uncultured bacterium. RNAcentral describes it as "bacterial SSU rRNA". It matches the Rfam family "Bacterial small subunit ribosomal RNA", at positions 330 to 794 of the family's 1533-position model. The record is from RNAcentral.